RNAcentral lists this transfer RNA (71 nucleotides) under archaeon. RNAcentral's name for it is "tRNA-Gly". It matches the Rfam family "tRNA". Rfam says of the family: Transfer RNA (tRNA) molecules are approximately 80 nucleotides in length. Their secondary structure includes four short double-helical elements and three loops (D, anti-codon, and T loops). The record is from RNAcentral.
GCGGAAGUAGUCUAGUGGUAAGAUGCGACCUUGCCAAGGUCGAGGCCCGGGUCCGAUUCCCGGCCUCCGCA